AACGAACGCUGGCGGCGUGGUUUAGGCAUGCAAGUCGAGCGAGAAAGUCCUUCGGACGAGUACAGCGGCGAAGGGUGAGUAAUAUAUAGGUAACCUACCUCUUGGACUCGGAUAAUUCCUGGAAACGGGUUGUAAUACGAGAUCGUCCUAUUGGGUCGCAUGGCCCGACUGGUAAAUGGUAGCUCUGCUUCUGCCGAGAGAGGGGCCUAUAUCCUAUUAGCUAGUUGGUGAGGUAAUGGCUCACCAAGGCUUUGAUGGGUAGCCGGACUGAGAGGUUGGCCGGUCACACUGGGACUGAGACACUGCCCAGACUCCUACGGGAGGCUGCAGUCGAGAAUCUUCCGCAAUGGGCGAAAGCCUGACGGGGGCGACGCCGCGUGAACGAAGAAGGCCUCGGUUGUAAGUU
RNAcentral lists this ribosomal RNA (406 nucleotides) under uncultured bacterium. RNAcentral's name for it is "bacterial SSU rRNA". It matches the Rfam family "Bacterial small subunit ribosomal RNA", at positions 29 to 432 of the family's 1533-position model. The record is from RNAcentral.